RNAcentral lists this ribosomal RNA (951 nucleotides) under Triticum aestivum (bread wheat). RNAcentral's name for it is "partial small subunit ribosomal RNA". The record is from RNAcentral. Lineage: Eukaryota; Viridiplantae; Streptophyta; Magnoliopsida; Poales; Poaceae.
AUGCGUGAGUCAGAGCAUCUCCAGCCGUUGAGCCUCCCAGGAGGCAUUUUUUUCCCGCCUGGGGGCUGCCGGCGAAAUUUUUUCCCUGGCAACGAGAAAAUGUCCACUCGUUGCCCCCCCCCACGCACUUAUCCACUCGUCACCGCAGGGCAGGCCGCCUUCGCCUCGCCGCCUCCGCCCUCGGCCCUCCUGCUCGCCGCCCUCGCCAUGGCACUGCUCGCCGCCACGGACAGCAGCGUGGACUCCAUCCCCUUCGCCGGAGACCAGGCGCUCCGCCCUGGGCCGCAGCAGGAGCAGGACCAGCGCGGCCUGUCGGGCGUGUCGAGCAACUCGACCAGCCAUGGCUUCUGGACCUGGCGCAUGGCGCCCGUCCCACCAGUGCUUGAGCGGGCCACCACGUACUCGGCGGCGAGCGACGACGCUGACCUGGUCCGCCGGAACGCCCACUCGGCGGACGCGGAGGAGAUGGGCUGGAUCUUGCGAGGAUGGUGGCCAUGGCGCCCAAGCGAGGAGGAAGGAGAUGGUCCGCGAGCCCUGCCCCGGCCAUGCGCGCUGUGUGGAAGGAAAGGGAGAGGAGAGGAGAAAGAAAAUAAAGAAAGGGGAGGAGAGAGGAGAGAGAGAGGGGCUGACGAGUGGCCCUGUGCAUGCAAAAGUCAUCUACCGACGUCCCCAGCCGCCCCCCGGGGGGCUGGGUUUGGGGUGGUAGCGCCGGCCGUAAAUCUCGCGAAAUUCGGCGAAAAACGUCUCUGGGGCCCGAGUGGGUUUUUUUUGCCCGCCGGCGUCCAAAAAGUGCCUUGGGGAGGCUUCCUGGGGGGUCGACUGGAGAUGCUCUCGUGCAUUUUACUUGGUGUGCGCCGCGCAGGAGGUUCUCGCAGCUGGCCCAUGCAGUUCGCCAGUGGAAGAACAUGCCGUUGCACUUGGUGCAGUUCGCUGGUUGACCAUUGCGGUUAA